This 231-nucleotide long non-coding RNA is filed under the name Theobroma cacao (cacao). RNAcentral describes it as "long non-coding RNA (TCAC_LNC006396)". The record is from RNAcentral. Lineage: Eukaryota; Viridiplantae; Streptophyta; Magnoliopsida; Malvales; Malvaceae.
AUUUUCUAGAAAAUUUAUAAAAUCAUUUUAUAAAAUCACAAUUUCUCUUAAAACAUAGCAAUUUACCAUUUAAACUCAUUUUUCAUAAAAUCACACAGUUGUAUAAAACUACUAUAGAUAAUUAAGACGAUAAUAAGUUUACUCACAGUUUUCGAAAACUAAAUUCGGGUACUCCAACUAUUACUCCUCAGGUGCGAUUUCUUUGCCCUUGCCAAAGGAUUCGCCACCUUG